RNAcentral lists this ribosomal RNA (301 nucleotides) under uncultured bacterium. Its description in RNAcentral is "partial 16S ribosomal RNA". It matches the Rfam family "Bacterial small subunit ribosomal RNA", at positions 509 to 809 of the family's 1533-position model. The record is from RNAcentral.
CAGUCGCCGCGGUAAAACGGAGGGAGCUAGCGUUGUUCGGAAUUACUGGGCGUAAAGCGCACGUAGGCGGCUUUGCAAGUUAGAGGUGAAAGCCUGGAGCUCAACUCCAGAAUUGCCUUUAAGACUGCAUCGCUUGAAUCCAGGAGAGGUGAGUGGAAUUCCGAGUGUAGAGGUGAAAUUCGUAGAUAUUCGGAAGAACACCAGUGGCGAAGGCGGCUCACUGGACUGGUAUUGACGCUGAGGUGCGAAAGCGUGGGGAGCAAACAGGAUUAGAUACCCGUGUAGUCCCUGUCUCUUAUCC